This 341-nucleotide ribosomal RNA is filed under the name uncultured Anaerolineaceae bacterium. Its description in RNAcentral is "bacterial SSU rRNA". It matches the Rfam family "Bacterial small subunit ribosomal RNA", at positions 1029 to 1382 of the family's 1533-position model. Lineage: Bacteria; Bacillati; Chloroflexota; Anaerolineae; Anaerolineales; Anaerolineaceae. The record is from RNAcentral.
CUUGUACAGGUGCUGCAUGGCUGUCGUCAGCUCGUGUCGUGAGAUGUUCGGUUAAGUCCGCUAACGAGCGCAACCCUCGCUGUGUGUUACAAGUGUCACACGGAACUGCCGGUCAGUAAACCGGAGGAAGGUGGGAUGACGUCAAGUCAGCAUGGCCUUUAUAUCCUGGGCUACACACACGCUACAAUGGGAAGGGACAAUAGGUUGCGAAGCCGCGAGGCGGAGCCAAUCCAGCAAAACUUCCCUCAGUUCAGAUUGCAGGCUGCAACCCGCCUGCAUGAAGUUGGAGUUGCUAGUAAACGCAGGUCAGCCAUACUGCGUUGAAUACGUUCCCGGGGCUU